UUCAGAAAAUUUUUAUAACAGUUCAGAGCAUUAAAAAACAAAGCUGUUCAUAAAUCUCAGUAGCCAAAAUACCUUUGAAACAAGAACAAGUAUGCAUACAUUAACAGCAAAAGCUCAAACAAGUUAUAGUAAUUUAGCAUUCGAUCAAGGGUGAUGAGUAGGGAGUAACCAAGAUUCAAGUACAAUCAACAACGUGCAUAAACUAUCAUACGUACGAGGAAAAGAAGAGAAUGGAUGAGAGAUAUUAGGAAAACGAGGAAAAGGGAUAAGCAACUAAACCAUGAAUCAACUGUUCUUAUCCUAUCUUUUUCCUUCUCUAUUUUAAGAACCAAAUUAAACCUAAUAAAUACACAAUGCUAAAAGACAUCAUCACAACACCUACUACAGCCUCUUUUUUCUUUUCCAUUUUCUUUUUUCUCUCUCUGUUCUUAUGUCCUAUUAUUAUGUUCUUUUUCCUUCUGGAAAUCAGUCCACUGUCAUUGGCAAGGUCAUGCAACAUCUGAAUCGAGCCUUGCGAACAUUGGUCAUGAUCUCAGUCUCUGCAUUCUCGAGCAUUCUGACAACUUCGACAAAGGGUGGCCUAACUUCAGGGUUCACAUCCCAGCAACGGGUCAUAAUCUCACCAAGAGCAGGCAAGCAAUCAUUGGGAAUGACAGGACGAACACCCUUGUUGACGACCGCAAAUGCAGCUUGCACUGCUGUCAUAUUCUGGAAUGGAAGCAUUCCUGUGAUGAGUUCCCACAAAACAAUCCCAAAGCUAUAGACAUCCACCUUUUGCGUGUAGGGCCUGUGUUGGAUCAUCUCCGGUGCCAUCCAGCGGUAUGUCCCUGUCUCUGGUGUCAUUCCUUCGGUCUGCACCUCAAUUCGAGCAACCCCAAAAUCUGCAAUCUUUAUAGAUUUAUCUCCAAAAAUCAAAAGAUUGUCAGAUUUUAAAUCCCUAUGAAUCAGACCAAGCCCAUGAACAUAGGCCAUUCCUCUUGCAACGUCCAAGGCCUGCUUAACUGCCAAUUUCAGUGGCACUGCCCUGUUCUGUCGCCUUGUUAAAAACUGACGCAUUGAACCUCCUUUUGCAUAUUCUGUCACUAUGCACCAUACCAUUGGUUUCCGACAAGCACCAAUAAAUCCAACAAUGUUGGGAUGCUUUAAUGUGGCCAGCAUCAUAACUUCCUGCUGAAAUUGUUGCUCCAUCAACUUUGCCCUUUCUUGGUCAUUUUCUGGCCUCUCCAAGAUUUUGAUGGCAACAUCCUCACCAUCAUAAGUCCCUCUGUAGAGUUUCCCAAAAGCCCCUUGUGCAAAAGCUGCCCCCAUAUUAAGCUUCCUCAAGUCAAUGGUCCACUCAUCAAAAUUCUCAAGGCCCUCUGUAGGGGAAUUACUAUCCAUUAGUGCAUGGGCCAGUGCAUCAUCAUUCAAAGCACGCAUGGCUCUUCCAUUAUGGUUAACACUCCGUUGAACAGAGUAGUUGUCAUUAGCAUGCCGCUGCAGUCCUUGGUGAUUCAAAAUGCGAGUGUGAGAAUCAUUUGACCCAAUACUUUCUAUGGACAUUGCAGUCCUUCCACCAUUGCUUAUUUGCAAGCUAUCAUAACUGUCUAUUGACAUAUUGGAAUUCUCACCAAGUUUAUGAUAGAAAACUUGUGAUAAAUCAUCAUAAUUGUUAUCAUGAUUGUUUAGGCCAAUAAUUCCAGGAAAUUUCGGACCUCCUUCCAACAUGUUCCUCUUUGAGAAGCAAAACCUCAAAGCCCACUUAUUUCUUCAGCAUCAGAAAUCAAGACCAAAUUGUUCUUUUCAGAAAACCAGAAACCAAAACCAAUCAAAGUUCUUUCAGCAUAUCAUUCUCAACAAGCAAUAUAAAUAAUUACCCUUUAACCUUUUAAAUAAAAAUACACAGACAAGCCCUUGCUUAAGAAAAGACAGAAAAUCUGAAACUGAAUGCCCAACUAUUCAAUAUUGUCUCUUCCUAGCAUAAGCCUUACAUGGGAAAACAACAAAGAGAGAUCUUAUUAACCACAAAUCUUAAGAAAUUGACUCUUGCAUAACCCAAAAACACAUAAAUUCACAGGUAAAGACCCUAAAAGAAGAAAAAGGCAAAGAGAAGAUAACAGCGUCAUCUUCAUAAAAAAAAAAUGGAAAUGAGCCCUACAAAACCAAUCAUUUCUGUGUAUAAAAUAUUCUGGAAAACUCUUAAAAGUUGGCCAAUGAUGUUGUGCCCUAAAAACACAAAAUCAGCAAAAUCUAGUCCAAAGUCCUAUAGACCCAAAAGCAUAAAAAGUCAAUCAUACAAAUACAUACAAUAUUACCCCGAGAAAGCUCUUUAAGAAGAAGCCAAUACUCAAUAGAAAGACCCAGAAACAUAACGCCAGAACUAGAUGAAGCAAAAUCGUGCCAUUUUCAUGAGUAAGAGGAACUAACUGCCAUUUUCAUAAGUUCAGGAACUAACACAACAACUUUUGGGAUAGAGAAAAGGAGCAAGCAUCACUCAAGUAAAUUAUUUGACAUGUUAAAAGCAAAAAUCAACAAGAAAACAAAACCCAAUUAGCAUUGCUAUUUCCGGACCAAAGAGAUAGCUUGCGCACAUUUUUAAACCUCAUAUUUCAGUUCACAUAUACACAAUAGUUUUAAGGUGACCCAAUAUCGUUCUUUAAAGAAAAAGAACAAUCAAUAAAAGUAAAAAAAUGGAUUGAUAAGAAUAGAAAAAUCAAUGAAAGCAAUAAAUGAAAUGAUAAGAAGGAAAACAACACAACCAAGGGCUUAUUACAACAAUAUACUUGUUAAAAUAAAGUAAUCAAAUUUUCAGAAUUUAUAAUGAAUUGCAUUUAGGAAUUUUAUCCAACAAAGACGAGAUUUCCCUUCAAAACCAACAUUUUGAACACAGAUUCAAAUAAGUUCUUAAUAUACAUAAUACUAAUGCCACAUAGGAACUAAAUAUCAAGAAUUAAACCAUCACAUAUCACUCCAAAACUCAUUUAUCAGAAGUCAAAUCAUCACAAAUCACUCCAUAGACACCAAGACCACAUAUCCCAAUCACAACAGCAGAAAACACUCCCCAUUUUAGAAACCAGUCUCUACAUACCCAUACAAGCUUCUAACGUCUCCCAUAUGAAUGAAUUCGAUACCCAAGUAUCCAUUCAAAGCUAUUCAACCCACAAGUUCAUGGAUGAAAUAAUUUAUGCUCAACAGAAUAAAUAGAAAGAUCAGGGUUUACCUUAUUGUCAGUAGAUUGACUUUCUAUUGUUGUGGUUAUGCGGUAACUAUAAACAAAUCAACAAACAAAAAGAGCUAGCGUGGGAGAUCGAAAGCUUCUCAGAGAGUUCAAGGCUGAGAGGAAACUAAUGGGUCUGUAACCUUUUCCCAAUAGAAAACAAGAGACAAAUCAGAAAGAAGAAUUCCCACAAAAACCCUCGAUCAUUUUCUCUAGUUUCCGCGAUUUUUUCCUUUCCUCGCUAUCCGGUCGUCUACCGGUGAGAAAGAUUGAGAGAUCCCAUGAGAUAGAGAAAGAAAUGGAGGAGAAGAGGAGAAAAAUCAACUGCUGAGUCGGAGAAGGUUAAAGUGCUCAAAAAGAGAGGCUGAAGAAGAGAAUGAAGACAAAGAUCGAGUCUUCAAAGACCAAAAACCAACUAAAG
RNAcentral lists this unclassified non-coding RNA (3617 nucleotides) under Hevea brasiliensis (rubber tree). Lineage: Eukaryota; Viridiplantae; Streptophyta; Magnoliopsida; Malpighiales; Euphorbiaceae. The record is from RNAcentral.